RNAcentral lists this small RNA (806 nucleotides) under Pan troglodytes (chimpanzee). RNAcentral describes it as "retained intron". The record is from RNAcentral. Lineage: Eukaryota; Metazoa; Chordata; Mammalia; Primates; Hominidae.
ACUUUCUUAAGAUCCUACCUAGUAGGUACUAGGUAGAAGUACCAGGUUGGAAUUCAGGUCUCCUGGCCACUAGAGCCUACAUUCUCUGUACUACCUCUUAUAGCUUCUUAAAUGUGAGAAUGGAUGCUGCAGGGAGAGGAUUAUUUUUACUGCUCUUGUUUUUGACACUCACAGAUUGUGUGUAGAACUGCAUUUGACAAAUAUCACUUUAUUGAACACUGUGUUUUUUUCCCUCUUUCUCCGCCACCUUACUGUUCAGUGCUUCAGGCACCGUGUACACAGCAAUGGAUGUGGCCACAGGACAGGAGGUGGCCAUUAAGCAGAUGAAUCUUCAGCAGCAGCCCAAGAAAGAGCUGAUUAUUAAUGAGAUCCUGGUCAUGAGGGAAAACAAGAACCCAAACAUUGUGAACUACUUGGACAGUUACCUCGUGGGAGAUGAGCUGUGGGUUGUUAUGGAAUACUUGGCUGGAGGCUCCUUGACAGAUGUGGUGACAGAAACUUGCAUGGAUGAAGGCCAAAUUGCAGCUGUGUGCCGUGAGUGUCUGCAGGCUCUGGAGUUCUUGCAUUCGAACCAGGUCAUUCACAGAGACAUCAAGAGUGACAAUAUUCUGUUGGGAAUGGAUGGCUCUGUCAAGCUAACUGACUUUGGAUUCUGUGCACAGAUAACCCCAGAGCAGAGCAAACGGAGCACCAUGGUAGGAACCCCAUACUGGAUGGCACCAGAGGUUGUGACACGAAAGGCCUAUGGGCCCAAGGUUGACAUCUGGUCCCUGGGCAUCAUGGCCAUCGAAAUGAUUGAAGGGGAG